Mycena latifolia is the source of this 92-nucleotide non-coding RNA. The record is from the annotation of a GenBank genome assembly. Lineage: Eukaryota; Fungi; Basidiomycota; Agaricomycetes; Agaricales; Mycenaceae.
GGCUCGAUGGCGGACGGCCCGCACCUGCCUAGCUUGCGGUCGAUUGCGCAGUCUUAUCGCAGGAGCUGCCCGUUCGACUCGGGCUCGAGCCA